AGAAACAAGGCCUGCCGCACAACAUCCAGGCGCAGGGGGCUAGUUCCGAGAGGAAAGUCUGCUUUCUUGGAUUUGGGGCAAGUUUCUCAUGUAUCUACUUCUUCAUCUGCUGAUUUCUGUGGUGAACCUCCUCAUCUGGCAAGAUAAGGGGCAGCUUGAGAGAUGGAGGGGGGGAUGGGGUGCAGGGUAGGAGGAAACCAGAAGCAGGUCCUGAAAGCUGCAAGAAGUCGGUGCUCUAGGAAGGUGCUUGAGGUCUAGGCUGCUUGUGCUGGGAGACAGAGUGAGGCAGGACAGAGCCCAGACUGUGGCUUUGGUGGAAUCCAAACAAAGUUAGCGGGUUUUGGCUGGGGGCGGGGGGUGGUGGCUGAGAAGAGAGUGUGCCCUAAGGAGUUGGGAGUGUCAUGGGAGUCAAUUAUUUAAUCAGCAAAUGUCUCCUGAGGGUCUCUCCUGUGCCAGCCCUGCAAUAGCUGUGCUGUGCAGAAGGUGAGCAAAACCAACCAGUGGGCUCCCAGCCCAGGGUCCCUGCUGGCGACAAGUUGUCGGCUACCACCACACGCAUGCUUCUCCCCACACGCGUGCUUCUCCCUAGCCAAGCAGGAGGCAGUGGAAGAGCCUCUGGGAACCUUGUCCUUCAAUGGGCAGUUGUGAAUCAUGGCAGAACCCUUCUUGAGAAAGGCAAGGUUGGAAAAACUGGAACCUGCCCUCGCAAGGCUCAAGUUGGAGACAUCAGGGGCCCAGAGGCCAGAAAGAACCCUGCAGUCUUUGCUCUGUGUAUGGUCAGGUGCUUGGGGCUCAACUUAGUUUGCAGAUACUCCACCCCAUCCCACCCCAUCCCAAAGCUGACCUGAGACAAGGAAGGAAAGGGCAGGGAGAGGACCGGAUUGUGGCCAUGCAGGGGAGGACAGAAGCAUGGCCACUGCAGCGUAAAGCGGGCCAGGGGAGGUCUUACUUUGGGUGUCUUAGUAUCUGAUUUGCACUGAGAAAGGGGUCACUCUGCAGCCACACCACACAGGGCAAGGGGCAACUGGGCUACCAUCAGGUGUCUGCUGCCACAGCCUAGGCAAGGGACUGGGGUGGUCUGGGGAGGAGGGCAUAGUGCUGGUGGCAAGAAAUGGACAUUUGGGGAUGGACGAAGGCAUGGGGUUUGCUGAAGUGUAGGAGGUGGAGGAAAGGGGGACAUGGUGUGUGCGGACCGUCCGGAGGGAAUCAGGCUCAGCCAUGCUGAGUUGAGGGAGCCCUAGGGAUACUCAUCCAUCUGUGGAUCUGGUGCUGAGGGAGGGUCCCAGCCAACCUCCUCUAUGUCAUUGCACGCAGCACCCGGGGUCUAGGGGGAUGUGAAGAGCAUGGAACGGCUCUAGCAAACCUCAACACCAGUGCUCAAGGAAGCAGCGGGCUCAGGAGCAAGGAUGUUGCAGGCUGGGAGCUGGUAAGCCUGGGCUGCGGCAGGCAGGCCUGGGCAGGGCAGAGGCGCAGAGCCCAGCUCUAGGAGAUGUGGGAACAAUGAGCGCCUUGGCUCUGGGUAGACAGACGUCCCUCCCAACAGAUCCUCAGUUUCUGUAACUCUGGCCUGUGAUGGUUGGGACUUCUCGGGCUGUACACUCAGCACAGAACAUGUCAUUGUUCCAGGCACAGGAAGGAAGCUUAAAAUGGGUGGACCUACCAAAAAGGCUGGAGGGAGAGGGGCAGGGCCAGGAAGUCGGGGUGCAUUAGUCCCUUUCCUGAAGGACCCCAGAGCCUGAAGAAGGGUCUGGCACUGUAUGGGCACUCAAGGCGCAUUUGCAGCCUGAGGGCAGGAGUGAGCACGGGAAACUCCUACAGGACUGGACCCAACAGCCAGGUCACCCCCAUUGCAGAAUUCUGGUGCACCCUCAGUCUCCUGAGUGACCCCACAUGGCUCCUUCUGCCCUUUUUCUCAUGCGGAACAAAAUAAGGAAGUAUGUGAGCCAAACAGUGUAGCCUUGGCUGUCGCACAGCUGGAGGUCAGGUCUUCUCUAGCUGUGUGGCCUCCAGCAAGUUACCUGGCUUUGCGGGAGCUCAGUGUGCUCAUCUUCAAAAUGGACACCAUAACAAUGACAUUUUGGGAUGACUGUCAAAUCAGGGAUGAUGUAUAGAGAUGAUAGACUGGCUAUGUGCUUGCAUAUAGACCUACAAAUACCACUCUUUUGAAAGGAGAGGGAGGAGCAUGGACCCAGCCCAGCAUGUGGGAAAGCCCAGGGAGGGUUUAAGGUGUUUUAUGUUUUGGCAAUGGAGAACAAGGCGGUGGCAGACGGUAUUACUCAACGCUGACCCCAGCAAUAUUUCUGGCCCCACGUGCCCCUCUUGAACCUCGCCACCACCCAUCAUAAGCAGAGACUGUGUCCCCUCCCUUCAUACCCCCGGGGGACCUUUGUGCUGCUUCAAUGAACAAACUGUGGUGGAAGUGAUGCUGCACAACAUCCAAGGCCAGGCCGUAGAGGGCAUGGAACUUCUGCCCGAUCUCUCGGGGCAUGGGCUGCGGGUGAUGGUGUUGAGCUGACAGUCAGAGGUCCAGCACCCUGAGGCUGCCACGCUGGAGAGUGCAUGUGUCAAGACCACAGGGAGAUGGAGAGAGAUGCCUGAGGAGCCUCGGCUGCUCCAGCCCACAUGCUGGGUGAGGGAUCCAGGAGCUUGCAUGAGCCCCGCCCAGAUGGCAUAUUUGUGAGUAAAGCAGAUGUUGUUGGAUGUGUGUCUGAGGACUGCGGAGGUUUGCUACACAGCAACACCUGACAACGAAGGGUUCUUGGUCAGAGGCUCGGUCAUGAGUGGGUUUGUAACACCUCUUCCCAAAGCCAGCUUCUCCCCUAGGGCUGUGAGUGAUUUGAGGGCCAAGCUUCCUGGCAUCAAACUCUUCUCCCCGCUGGUCUUUGCUGAUGCAUUCAUCAUGACAUAGAAUUUCAUUCACUGGGCUGCGGCAUUUUACUCUUUACCCAGAAAGUCAUUUAAACUCUAGUGUGAAUGAGUGUGGGGUGAUUUUUCCAAAGCAGGGGGCCCUGGGUGCCUGAGAAGAGAGUGAAGAGCCUGAGGGACACCUUUUGGAGCUCCUUCCUGCCCAGACCCCAGCUGCAGCUGUUCUGAGAAAAGCCUCUGUCAGCGUGGGCUCAGGGACUGCCCCUCCUGCGGCAUCCCCCUGCUGUCCUCUCACGGGCAUUUCCCCAAGGGCCCGCUCGUGUUAGAGCUCUAGCUCUCCGCUGGUCACCUUCAGACUGACGAUAUAUUCACUCCAGGCCUCUUGCUUCUAAUUUCUCAAGUGAGUUGCCAUUCAUACCAGCCCCUCAUCUGCCUCACCGGACUUCCCACCUAAUGCAGCCAGGGUGCCCUCUGCUUUGCCCACCACUCCAACAGAGGAUGUCUGCCCUAAAGCCUGCAGGCCCCAUGCCAGGGCAAGGCAGGCCCUGCCUUCCACCAGGUACAAGGUACAACACAGAGUGGCAUGCAGCCACUGCUAGGGAAUAUUUUUUGUUAAAUUGUGGCCCAAGGGAGGUCUGGGCAGGGCUUGAAUACUCCAUUCAGAAGUUAUGGCUGAUGUGCCCUGGUAGGCAUGCGUGUGGCCUGCUGGCGGGAAGCAGCUGCUGCUCGCUGUCCCAGAGUGUCCCCUGCCUCCUGACCCCUCCCCAGGGUUCCCAUUCCUCCAGGGCUCUCUACAACCCAGCAAGGGCUUGGAGCCGGCUCCAGCCUCUGUUCUGAGGGGCGGGUGCUCGUGCCCAGUCGGUGGUGAGUAUUUUUCGUAAGACCCCUGGAUACAAACAAAGCCAUGUCUGCAAAAUACCAGAUCCCUUGAUGGAAAGUCUCUUGAACAUGCUGCGGCCUGCUCCGCCCUAGCAUGUGCAGCCCAGCCAUUUCCACUUUGCUCCCGGAAGAUGCCUGACCAUGAGCUUUCACUUGUAGUUUCAGCAACAUUCCUAGGAUCAUCAUUAAAAUAAUUCAUGUUCUCUUCAAAUGCCAGCACAGAAUAAAGUCACAGGCCCCUCACCUCUAGGGACUCUGAGAGGCCAAACUUUGAAAGAAAAGAAAAAUGCCUGAGGUGAGAUGAUUGAGAAAUUAAAACUGUGUGCCCGUGAUCUGAGCCUUGGAAUUCAGCUGUGGCCAUCUCCAGGAAAGGCAUCCCCACAGAGCAUCCACCCCUGGCUGGAAGAUAAUGCGGUCGCAGAAGCUCAGGCCAAGUUCACCCCACCCCACGCAUGCAGAAAUAGUGCAGAAGGUCGGCCGAGACCCUCACUAAUGGAGAGAGAAGGGCUAACACAUACAGGGACCACUCUGAGGUGUGUUCCAGACCAUGCUCAGCGGUGCCCAGCAGGAUGGAGCUCUGCUGUUUGUGGAGGCCACCUGCUCACGCACCCACUGAGCUCAUGACUCCUCCCACCCUGCCCUGCUUCACGGCCCUGCCCCUGAAGGCUGCCUCCUGGGUCCUCUCCAGAUAAGCCACAUUCACUUGCAUCCUUAACUGGACACUUCUAUCCAAAGACAGGCUGGAGCCUUUGGAAGCUGACAGCCACAGCUUGGGGAACAGUGUGACCCCAGGCUUUCCUGGCAUUCACGUUGAAUCACUUGUCUAAUGUCACACAGCAUUUAAGAGGCAGAUCCAGGAUUUGAAGCAGAUCACUGGGCCCUGGAGGCUACACUGUUCACCACCCUGCUGUGAUGCCUUCAGAAGAUAAAACAGGCACAUUCCGGGUAAAUAUGCAGGCUAACGCAUGCAUGGAAAAAAUUUCCCUGGUAUGAACAUGUACGUGAGUAGAAAAAGUUGCUUAAGACCUAUGAUGCCAGAGAAAGUGGGCAUGACUGUGACUCAAGAUGUGGAGCUGGCGUGAAAAGAGGGGCAGGAACUGCAUCCGCAGUGAGCCUCCCAUGCAUUCCUGGGGGCUCCAGCAGCAAAGCAGGAUUUUGGAAAUAAGGAAAGCUGCUUGUUCGAAAUAAUUUUCUUCUGUCAGUCCAGCCUUUAAUUAGCCAAGGUAAAAACAUUGAACUAGGAAUCCCGAGACUUAAGCUUGAGUCCUGACCCAACCUAUAAAUUCACUGUGUGACCUUGGGAGGCUUGCAUAACCUCUCUGAGCUUUCCCUUCUUUGUAAAUUGCACAAUAUUACCUUCAAAUGUAAUCAUGUGAGAAAGAAACUGCAGCUGCUUCUUGGGUUUAGAGCUGCAGCAUCUGUGUGGGUUCUCAGAAGUACCAUAGCCCUGACUACAAAUUAUCUCAUAGCCAAGAGAACAACCUCAUGGAACUCGAAAGUUGAAAUUCACUCAGUCUGGGUUUUUUAUAUUUAUUCUGGGGAACUUUUGGGGAAAUGACUACAGUCAACCACUCUUAUGCAACAAUAAAGACGCAGACAUUUUUUGAAAGAAAACUGAGUUCUAGUCAAAUUAAUGAGAUUAAUAUAAGUAAUUAAUUUAUUGGAGAAGAAUUUAUCAAUUUGGAUAGCCUUUUAUUUUCAUUUGGAAUUUGAAAUUACAUUAGUAGAGAUAAGUUGAUGGUUUUUAGUUUCAUUAUUAUGACACGUUGCAUUAAAAACAAUACUUUCCAGGUGACAUCGAUAGUUAAGAAAAAGUUAGAGGAUAAAACCUCAAAAAGAGUAAGAAAUCUAAAAGUCUAGAUCAGUGUUUUACAGAACUCAGGUUUUCAGAUGACUCCUUUGGGAUAAUCAGCUUUCUGCAGUUAUGUUAUGUAUGGGACAUUUUUGGGUGGCAAUAAAGAAAAAGAGGUAGGGGUCAGGCCUAUGGGACUGGGAGGCCCGCUACGCAACUCAGAAUGGCUGGGACUUCUCGGAGCCCAUGCUUCCAUUUAGAGGGCCCAAUAGAACCGUUUUCUUUGUGGCAGAUAAAACCAUGGCUAAGUGCAGUGGCUUACGCCUGUAACCCCCACACUUUGGGAGGCUGAGGUGAGAGGGUCAUUUGAGGUCAGCAGUUCACAACCAGCCUGGCCAAAAUGGUGAAACCCGUCUCUAUUAAAAAUACAAAAAUUAGCUGGGCAUGGUGGCAGGCACUUGUAAUCCCAGCUACUCAGGAGGCUGAGGCAGGAGAAUUGCGUGAACCUAGGAGACGGAGGUUGCAGUGAGCAGAGAUCUCACCACUGCACCCAAGCCUGGGAGACAGAGCAAGACUCUGUCAAAAAAAGAAAAAAAGAAAAAAAAAAAAACCACACAAAAACAAAAAGGACCCAGAAGCAGUCCUUCAGGUUAAAUGAUACUUCCUUGUCAUAUGAAGGCCGCAUGGGCCCAGUGCCCUGCUGGGCAAAUGGAGUUUCCCAGUAAUUCGGAAUUGGGGGAACCUACACUGUGAGCCCCAUGGCGCUCUGAAGGCUGAGACUUGGUGUUAGCCAGGAACUGUCCUUUUGUUGUUGUGUUACAUCACUGUGUUAAAUUGAACCAUUCUGGUGUUCUAGGCUUGUUUUAUCAUAUUUGUAAAUGUUUCGGUUUAGUAGUUACAGGAGAGUUAGAGCGUAUGGUAAUGUUAUCUGAUCUGACUAAAGUACUAUUUAAGGACAGCGGUGGGAAAUAUGGCCUAUGAGAGCCCAAAUGUUACAGGCUACAACUGAGACUCCAAAGAGAACCUGGCCUCUCAGACUCAGCAAAUGGAAUUCUUGGUUCAAGGGCUGGUUUGCCCAGCAUGUGUCGGUGCCCACACUUGGAGCAACCUGCCAGCACCAGGAUGGGUCCCACUGGAGGAAGCAGCAGUCGAUGCUCUAAUGCGGUGGGAAGAACAAGGAGCAAUUCUGAAAACAGAAGUGUCAAAGUUACCAUCCCUUCUCUUGGUUCCUGAGAAUCCUUGGCCAGAAGACACAAACACCUGCCUUCCUUGCUCCAGGAACCAGAGAGGUGGUGUAGACCUCAGGAAGUCUGCUCAAGGACAAGAGGCAGUCAGCGGCUUCCAGAACAGCUUCUAGAUUGUGGGGGAGUGGGGAAGGGCUGGUCUGGGAGCAGGAAGAAGCUCAGUUCUGCUGCUGGCUGGCUGUGUGCCCACAGACAAGGAAGUCUCUUUCACUGUCCAAGCCUGAGUUUCUUUAAAAUAAAAUGUAAAGUUAAAAUAAAAUGUAAGAAUGCAGUGGCACCCUAGAUGUAAACUGUGUGUGCCUCGUCACAGAGCAGGUGCAGAGCAAAUGCCAAUUCCUUCCCAGUGCCCAGCCCACCCCAGGCCCACGGGGGGCUGCCUGGCCUCUGUGCCCAGCCUGAGACUACACUGAACUCAGGGGCUGUCAUUUCCCCUCAAGGUUGCUCUGCUCGCAAAUCAUCUGAUUUCAUCAGGACAGUGAAUGGUGGAGGGAGGUUGAGGCAGCAGGGUAAGUAAGUAUCUGUGAGACGACCAACAGCUAUUCUGGACUUCGUAAAAAUGUAAAGCUCUCUGAAGGACAUAGCAUAACAGGCACAGCUUUCCUCAACUAGUUGAAGUGGUUCUUGGCUUUCCUGGUCUAAUGCAACUCACGGGACAAAUGGCUGGUGGUCCUCUAUCCUCCCUGCCCUCUGAGUCAUUCUCCAGCCUGGCUCGGGCCUGUGCACCAGGUCUUGUGCCUGCUGGGGCCUCUAAAGCCAUCCAUGUCUCCAGGUCUCUGCAACAGCAGCAGGAUUCCAGUGGCAAGCUGAUAGGAGAAAUUUAACAGGGCUUUUCCUGUCUACCUUGACUGGAUUGUUCUUAUUUUUAUUUGCAGAAACCAGAGUAAGGCAGCCCAUCCAUCAAUCAAUGCCUGCUGCUCCUUAUGCCCCCAUGGCAGGUAUCAAACUCCUGCUGCAUUCUGGGGCCUGACGAAGAGUUGCAGAUGCAUGUGGAAUGGGCUGAACUCUGAACCCAUGUGUUCAUGUAGUACCUUUGCCACGUAGAUGCAUACUCCAGCUACUGCUCUAGGUACUAAGGAUGGAUUAGUCACACAUCAGGCGAGCCUCUGCUCUUGUAGAGCUGUAAGGUGACCAGUGCAAUGAAGGAAGAUGGGGAGGUGAGGGAGGUAAGACCUGGGAAUGUGGGGGAGGGGGCAAGUACCUGCAGAAGCUGAGUGUGUGAGCUAUGAGGAGAACACCACAAGAAAGAGUAUCCAGGCAGGGGGAGAGGUGAACUCACAGUUUCUGAAGUGGCCUGUGCUUAGCAUAUUCUAGAAAAGCCAGGGAGCUAGUAGGGCCAGGAAGGAGUGUUUUGUCUUAUUUUGUUUUUCAACAAAUGAAUGAACACAUGGGAACAGUGCAUGCUGGCUAAUUACCAUGUAAACUAUUCACCUGCUCUUGCUGGUAGGAUGGUAAUGCUUCCUGAACAGAGGUGUCCAGUCAGCCUGGCUCAGCAUGCCCUGCCUACACAGGGAUGAUAAGCCAUCACACAGCUUGUGGGUCUGAGCCAUGCUGCACAGUUCCACCAGACACAGAAGUCGUGCCUCCAAGGACCUGGGCAAGGCCAAACUCCACCUGCAGGAACCACACAGCUGUUAUAGCUGAUGUCCUGGCUUCCUGUGCUGGAGGAGCUGUCUGGGUCUUCUGGAUUUUGAAGCUGGAGACAUCUGAGCUGUGGCAUUUUGCUGUAGUUACUGCACUUCUUUGAGUAUCUCAUUAAUUUCUAAAAUGGGCAUAGUAAUAACUAGUAGCAUGUAGAAUUUUGGGGAGGAAAAUCAGAACAUGUAAGUGAUACUGGCUGAAUUGUGUCCCCAAAAUUCAUUUGUUGACCUUGUCACCUCAGCACCUCAGAACUUGACCUUAGUAGGAGAAAAGUCCUUUAAAGCAGUGAGUAAGGUAAGUGAGACCCUGGGGGCUAGCUGAAACCCUAAUGCAAUAGGACUAUGUCCUUACGAGAAGAGGAGAUGAGGACGCAGACACUCACAAAGGGAGGACUGUGUGCGGAGCAGGGAGGAGAGGGGCAUCUGCAGGCCAGGGAGUGAGGCUCAGAGGAGCCGGGCCUACCCACACCUUGAUCUUGAAACUGCAACCUCCGGAGCUGUGAGAAGACACAUUUCUGCCUUUGCCCCUGCCUGUGGGGCUGCCAGAGCAGCCCAAACUGACUAAGUCAGCUGGUGAGGACCCCUGGGAAUGCUCGCCUGUGAAAUUCGGCCCACGGACUCCGGG
RNAcentral lists this long non-coding RNA (9042 nucleotides) under Homo sapiens (human). RNAcentral describes it as "HSALNT0400130". The record is from RNAcentral. Lineage: Eukaryota; Metazoa; Chordata; Mammalia; Primates; Hominidae.